RNAcentral lists this ribosomal RNA (492 nucleotides) under uncultured bacterium. RNAcentral's name for it is "partial 16S ribosomal RNA". It matches the Rfam family "Bacterial small subunit ribosomal RNA", at positions 29 to 507 of the family's 1533-position model. The record is from RNAcentral.
AGUGAACGCUGGCGGUAGGCCUAACACAUGCAAGUCGAACGGCAGCACAGUAAGAGCUUGCUCUUACGGGUGGCGAGUGGCGGACGGGUGAGGAAUACAUCGGAAUCUACUUUCUCGUGGGGGAUAACGUAGGGAAACUUACGCUAAUACCGCAUACGACCUACGGGUGAAAGCAGGGGAUCUUCGGACCUUGCGCGAUUGAAUGAGCCGAUGUCGGAUUAGCUAGUUGGCGGGGUAAAGGCCCACCAAGGCGACGAUCCGUAGCUGGCCUGAGAGGAUGAUCAGCCACACUGGAACUGAGACACGGUCCAGACUCCUACGGGAGGCAGCAGUGGGGAAUAUUGGACAAUGGGCGCAAGCCUGAUCCAGCCAUACCGCGUGGGUGAAGAAGGCCUUCGGGUUGUAAAGCCCUUUUGUUGGGAAAGAAAAGCAGCAGGUUAAUACCCCGCUGUUCUGACGGUACCCAAAGAAUAAGCACCGGCUAACUUCGUG